AGACGCCCCUCCUGUGCUGCGCAGUCUUGGUGGCUGCAGAUUCCCACUUACCUGUGAUUUGGGGUGACUUCCUCACCUGUGAAGGAGGGGCUGCUGAGAGCACCGGCCUCUCCAGCCCUGUCGGCGAGGUCCCUGCCCUGCCCCAGCUGCUGGAGGGAGGGAAGCUGCAGGAAGGAGCUGGGGCUGUCCAGGGUCAGGGCAGCUGCACCAUAGCAGGACCAGGGGCCUCUCACGGCGGCUGGACCAUGGCCGGGGCUGCCCUAGGCAAGCAGGUAGACCAGGGAUCAGCAUGAGGACUGGACCCUCACAACAGGGACGGACUCUUCCAUUCAUUCCAGAGCUGCUGACCCCUGUGGCUCUGCAGGGCCCAGGUGUGACCGCAGCUCCUGAGGUGAGCACGACCCAGGCUCUGGCAGAGCUCCAUGGCACUGGGAGGCAGAGUCGCAUGUGGGCAUCUGUGUCAGGUUCUCUGUGGCCUGCUUGCCUGGGGAAGCUCUGAAUCACGUCUGUUGUUCCAGAACAAUCACUAAUCACAACCAGCCUGCCCUUCCGUCCACUCCCAAAAGCAUCCCAGGCAA
RNAcentral lists this long non-coding RNA (578 nucleotides) under Homo sapiens (human). RNAcentral describes it as "non-protein coding lnc-EIPR1-11:1". The record is from RNAcentral. Lineage: Eukaryota; Metazoa; Chordata; Mammalia; Primates; Hominidae.